Gallus gallus (chicken) is the source of this 446-nucleotide long non-coding RNA. Lineage: Eukaryota; Metazoa; Chordata; Aves; Galliformes; Phasianidae. The record is from Ensembl.
UUUGUCUGGCUAACAGUAAAAAUACUAUAAUAAAUCGGGAACAUAUGUUGCCAGACAAGAAUAAGUGAUAUAAAUAAAGAGUCAAGAGACAUAGCCCCUCAAGAACAAUGUAUUGCAUUUUAAAUCAAAAUGCUCUCCAUGACUGCCUGCUUUGCAGCACUAGGCGCCCAUUGAAAUUCAGCUGCAAGCAGGCUCGCUCUUACGGCCACGCUCUGGCCAUUAGUUUUGGAUUAUCAGCAGCCGUGGAGUUUUGCAGGCAGAUGCAACGCAAGGUCCUUCAGCUGAGCGAGCGCGUCCCUCCCUGCUCCCUAAUCCUGCUGCCGAACUGCAAACAAAAGUCGUGGGAGGAACGUGCCGGCCUUUGGCCAGGAACAGAAAGGGGGGAAAUGAGCAUGGAAACCCUGCAGCCUGUGCAGCGUAAUAAAAAUCUGUUCUUUAUCUCUUGU